GGAAGAUGUAACGGGGCUAAACCAUGCACCGAAGCUGCGGCAGCGACGUUUAUGCGUUGUUGGGUAGGGGAGCGUUCUGUAAGCCUGCGAAGGUGGCCUGUGAGGGUUGCUGGAGGUAUCAGAAGUGCGAAUGCUGACAUAAGUAACGAUAAAGCGGGUGAAAAGCCCGCUCGCCGGAAGACCAAGGGUUCCUGUCCAACGUUAAUCGGGGCAGGGUGAGUCGACCCCUAAGGCGAGGCCGAAAGGCGUAGUCGAUGGGAAACGGGUUAAUAUUCCCGUACUUGGUGUUACUGCGAAGGGGGGACGGAGAAGGCUAUGUUGGCCGGGCGACGGUUGUCCCGGUUUAAGCGUGUAGGCUGGUUUUCCAGGCAAAUCCGGAAAAUCAAGGCUGAGGCGUGACGACGAGGCACUACGGUGCUGAAGCAACAAAUGCCCUGCUUCCAGGAAAAGCCUCUAAGCAUCAGGUAACAUCAAAUCGUACCCCAAACCGACACAGGUGGUCAGGUAGAGAAUACCAAGGCGCUUGAGAGAACUCGGGUGAAGGAACUAGGCAAAAUGGUGCCGUAACUUCGGGAGAAGGCACGCUGACAUGUAGGUGAAGUGAUUUACUCAUGGAGCUGAAGUCAGUCGAAGAUACCAGCUGGCUGCAACUGUUUAUUAAAAACACAGCACUGUGCAAACACGAAAGUGGACGUAUACGGUGUGACGCCUGCCCGGUGCCGGAAGGUUAAUUGAUGGGGUCAGCGCAAGCGAAGCUCCUGAUCGAAGCCCCGGUAAACGGCGGCCGUAACUAUAACGGUCCUAAGGUAGCGAAAUUCCUUGUCGGGUAAGUUCCGACCUGCACGAAUGGCGUAAUGAUGGCCAGGCUGUCUCCACCCGAGACUCAGUGAAAUUGAACUCGCUGUGAAGAUGCAGUGUACCCGCGGCAAGACGGAAAGACCCCGUGAACCUUUACUAUAGCUUGACACUGAACAUUGAGCCUUGAUGUGUAGGAUAGGUGGGAGGCUUUGAAGUGUGGACGCCAGUCUGCAUGGAGCCGACCUUGAAAUACCACCCUUUAAUGUUUGAUGUUCUAACGUGGACCCGUUACCCGGGUUGCGGACAGUGUCUGGUGGGUAGUUUGACUGGGGCGGUCUCCUCCUAAAGAGUAACGGAGGAGCACGAAGGUUGGCUAAUCCUGGUCGGACAUCAGGAGGUUAGUGCAAUGGCAUAAGCCAGCUUGACUGCGAGCGUGACGGCGCGAGCAGGUGCGAAAGCAGGUCAUAGUGAUCCGGUGGUUCUGAAUGGAAGGGCCAUCGCUCAACGGAUAAAAGGUACUCCGGGGAUAACAGGCUGAUACCGCCCAAGAGUUCAUAUCGACGGCGGUGUUUGGCACCUCGAUGUCGGCUCAUCACAUCCUGGGGCUGAAGUAGGUCCCAAGGGUAUGGCUGUUCGCCAUUUAAAGUGGUACGCGAGCUGGGUUUAGAACGUCGUGAGACAGUUCGGUCCCUAUCUGCCGUGGGCGCUGGAGAACUGAGGGGGGCUGCUCCUAGUACGAGAGGACCGGAGUGGACGCAUCACUGGUGUUCGGGUUGUCAUGCCAAUGGCACUGCCCGGUAGCUAAAUGCGGAAGAGAUAAGUGCUGAAAGCAUCUAAGCACGAAACUUGCCCCGAGAUGAGUUCUCCCUGAGACUU
This 1674-nucleotide ribosomal RNA is filed under the name Salmonella enterica subsp. enterica serovar Bovismorbificans str. Sal682. RNAcentral describes it as "bacterial LSU rRNA". It matches the Rfam family "Bacterial large subunit ribosomal RNA", at positions 1165 to 2823 of the family's 2925-position model. The record is from RNAcentral. Lineage: Bacteria; Pseudomonadati; Pseudomonadota; Gammaproteobacteria; Enterobacterales; Enterobacteriaceae.